RNAcentral lists this ribosomal RNA (253 nucleotides) under uncultured bacterium. RNAcentral's name for it is "partial 16S ribosomal RNA". It matches the Rfam family "Bacterial small subunit ribosomal RNA", at positions 524 to 776 of the family's 1533-position model. The record is from RNAcentral.
GACGAACCGUGCGAACGUUAUUCGGAAUCACUGGGCUUAAAGGGCGCGUAGGCGGGCCGAAAAGCCAGGGGUGAAAUCCUCCAGCCCAACUGGAGAAGCGCCUUUGGAACUGGCGGCCUCGAGGGGUGCAGGGGCAUGCGGAACUCAGGGUGGAGCGGUGAAAUGCGUAGAUAUCCUGAGGAACACCGGUGGCGAAAGCGGCGUGCUGGACACCUUCUGACGCUGAGGCGCGAAAGCCAGGGGAGCGAACGGG